This 440-nucleotide ribosomal RNA is filed under the name uncultured bacterium. RNAcentral's name for it is "partial 16S ribosomal RNA". It matches the Rfam family "Bacterial small subunit ribosomal RNA", at positions 338 to 795 of the family's 1533-position model. The record is from RNAcentral.
CCUACGGGCGGCAGCAGUGGGGAAUAUUGCACAAUGGGGGAAACCCUGAUGCAGCGACGCCGCGUGAGGGAAGAAGUUAUUCGUUAUGUAAAGCUCUAUUAGCAGGGAAGAAAAUGACGGUAUCUGAGUAAGAAGCACCGGCUAACUACGUGCCAGCAGCCGCGGUAAUACGGAGGGGGCAAGCGUUAACCGGAUUUACUGGGUGUAAAGGGAGCGUAGACGGCAGUGCAAGUCUGUAGUGAAAGGCGAGGGCUCAACCCUCGGACUGCAAUGGAAACUGUUAGGCUAGAGUGCGGGAGAGGUAAGUGGAAUUCCUGGUGUAGCGGUAAAAUGCGUAGAUAUUAGGAGGAACACCAGUGGCGAAGGCGGCUUACUGGACCGUAACUGACGUUGAGGCUCGAAAGCGUGGGGAGCAAACAGGAUUAGAUACCCGUGUAGUC